This is a long non-coding RNA of Antechinus flavipes (yellow-footed antechinus), 813 nucleotides long. RefSeq lists it as uncharacterized. The transcript has 2 exons. The record is from RefSeq and is a predicted model, not a curated record. NCBI's taxonomy places the organism in Eukaryota, Metazoa, Chordata, Mammalia, Dasyuromorphia, Dasyuridae.
ACUCAACUCAACUGCACUCCGACUUGACUGUAGUCAUAAUUUGACAAAAAGCAAACCUUGAUCCCUAUGAAAGGAACUUUAGAGAGCUCCUAUUGCCAAUCUCAUGUUCCCAGCAACAAUAACAAUAAGGUCUCAGUCACAGAGGAGAACCUUAACUUCCACGUCUGGGCUGCCCAAGCACACAGGGUUUUCUUAGGCAUCACAUCUCUACCACCAUCUUUAGAAGGAAAAAGUGGGAAACAGAGAAGGAAAAAGAUAAAAAGAAGAGGUUGGAGAAAUAUAUCUAAUUCACGAUCACAGCUAUGGAUCUGAAUGACAAAGAAUUACCCACAACACAAAAGAGUAUAGCAAGAUGGGUUAGAAAGCAGAAUCCAACAACAUGUCAUUUAUAAGAAACAGACUUGAAACAGAUUCACACAAUUAAAAUAAGAAGCUGGAUCAAAAUCUAAGAACUCUGCUCAAUCUGACAUGAGAACCCUGAAACUGAUGGGGGACCCUGAAACUGUCUCUCUCUAAAACUCCUUGAAGAAGAGAGUCCCUGUAAAAGACCCGACCCAGCGAAUCAGGAUAAGAUUCAUUCUGUUAUCCAGAAGGAGACUAGUACAACCACUCACUACUGAAAAUUCUCUAUUCAAAUCAAAGAUUCGGUCUGAUUUCAACUCUAAUUGUCCCUAGCCCUAGGCCAGUGUCUGCCCAUAAAACUAGUACAGCAAACCUCUUUACAACAUCUACUGACUGAAUUAGGGGUUUUUGUCCACUAAGAGAAUUCUUUUCUUAGUGAAAAAAGAAAUAAACUUUCCUUAUUUCCACAGA